UUAAAAAUCAACCAAUAUGUGAAAAUUCAUCGCUGAACUUAAAAACACUAACGAAAGUAAUUCUAACUAACUUAAUACACGAUAGCUAAGACCCAAACUGGGAUUAGAUACCCCACUAUGCUUAGCCCUAAACCCUAAUAAUUCAAUAACAAAAUUAUUUGCCCGAGAACUACUGGCCACAGCUUAAAACUCAAAGGACUUGGCGGUACUUUACAUCCAUCUAGAGGAGCCUGUUCUAUAAUCGAUAAACCCCGUUAUACCUUACCACUCCUUGCUAAUUCAGCCUAUAUACCGCCAUCUUCAGCAAACCUUAAAAAAGAACAACAGUAAGCAAGAGAAUCACCAUAAAAACGUUAGGUCAAGGUGUAGCCUAUGGAGUGGGAAGUAAUGGGCUACAUUUUCUAAAUAAGAACAUUACGAAACCCUUUAUGAAAUCUAAAGGACAAAGGAGGAUUUAGUAGUAAAUUAAGAAUA
Molecule: ribosomal RNA, 474 nt
Filed under: Neotoma floridana (eastern woodrat)
Lineage: Eukaryota; Metazoa; Chordata; Mammalia; Rodentia; Cricetidae
Description: partial 12S ribosomal RNA
Rfam family: Bacterial small subunit ribosomal RNA
Source: RNAcentral